AGCAGCAGCCGCGGGAAUACGAAGGGUGCAAGCGUUAAUCGGAAUUACUGGGCGUAAAGCGUGCGCAGGCGGUUUGUUAGGACAGAUGUGAAAUCCCCGGGCUUAACCUGGGAACUGCAUUUGUGACUGGCAAGCUAGAGUCUGGCAGAGGGGGGUGGAAUUCCGCGUGUAGCAGUGAAAUGCGUAGAUAUGCGGAGGAACAUCGAUGGCGAAGGCAGCCCCCUGGGCCAACACUGACGCUCAUGCACGAAAGCGUGGGGAGCAAACAGGAUUAGAUACCCCCGUAGUCCCUGUCUCUUAUAC
This 303-nucleotide ribosomal RNA is filed under the name uncultured bacterium. Its description in RNAcentral is "partial 16S ribosomal RNA". It matches the Rfam family "Bacterial small subunit ribosomal RNA", at positions 507 to 807 of the family's 1533-position model. The record is from RNAcentral.